Molecule: ribosomal RNA, 490 nt
Filed under: uncultured bacterium
Lineage: Bacteria
Description: partial 16S ribosomal RNA
Rfam family: Bacterial small subunit ribosomal RNA
Source: RNAcentral
AGUGAACGCUGGCGGUAGGCCUAACACAUGCAAGUCGAACGGCAGCACAGUAGAGCUUGCUCUCUGGGUGGCGAGUGGCGGACGGGUGAGGAAUACAUCGGAAUCUGCCCAUUCGUGGGGGAUAACGGAGGGAAACUUACGCUAAUACCGCAUACGACCUUCGGGGGAAAGAGGGGGAUCGCAAGACCUCUCGCGAUUGGAUGAGCCGAUGUCGGAUUAGCUAGUUGGCGGGGUAAUGGCCCACCAAGGCGACGAUCCGUAGCUGGUCUGAGAGGAUGAUCAGCCACACUGGAACUGAGACACGGUCCAGACUCCUACGGGAGGCAGCAGUGGGGAAUAUUGGACAAUGGGCGCAAGCCUGAUCCAGCCAUACCGCGUGGGUGAAGAAGGCCUUCGGGUUGUAAAGCCCUUUUGUUGGGAAAGAAAUCUUUCAGGCUAAUACCCUGGGAGGAUGACGGUACCCAAAGAAUAAGCACCGGCUAACUUCGUG